GAUCCUGGCUCAGAUUGAACGCUGGCGGCAUGCUUUACACAUGCAAGUCGAACGGUAACAGGUCUUCGGAUGCUGACGAGUGGCGAACGGGUGAGUAAUGUAUCGGAACGUGCCCAGUAGUGGGGGAUAACUACUCGAAAGAGUGGCUAAUACCGCAUGAGAACUGAGGUUGAAAGCGGGGGACCUUCGGGCCUCGCGCUACUGGAGCGGCCGAUAUCAGAUUAGGUAGUUGGUGGGGUAAAGGCCUACCAAGCCGACGAUCUGUAGCUGGUCUGAGAGGACGACCAGCCACACUGGGACUGAGACACGGCCCAGACUCCUACGGGAGGCAGCAGUGGGGAAUUUUGGACAAUGGACGCAAGUCUGAUCCAGCAAUGCCGCGUGCAGGACGAAGGCCUUCGGGUUGUAAACUGCUUUUGUACAGAACGAAAAGGUCUCCUCUAAUACAGGAGGCUUAUGACGGUACUGUAAGAAUAAGCACCGGCUAACUACGUG
RNAcentral lists this ribosomal RNA (495 nucleotides) under uncultured bacterium. RNAcentral's name for it is "bacterial SSU rRNA". It matches the Rfam family "Bacterial small subunit ribosomal RNA", at positions 15 to 507 of the family's 1533-position model. The record is from RNAcentral.